Molecule: long non-coding RNA, 204 nt
Filed under: Carica papaya (papaya)
Lineage: Eukaryota; Viridiplantae; Streptophyta; Magnoliopsida; Brassicales; Caricaceae
Description: long non-coding RNA (CPAP_LNC008322)
Source: RNAcentral
CUGUCUAACACUUCAGAAAUAGGAAUACCAUAGAGUCAGACAAUCUCCUUGAUGUAUAACUGAGCCAACUUACUAGUUGAGUCAAUAAGCUUAAUAGUAAGAAAAUGGGCGAACUUGAUCAGUUCGUCCAUGAUGAGCCAUAUGGCAUCAUGAUUAAAGCUGGCUCUAGAGAAACUAGUGAUGAAAUCCAUAGUUCGUGCUCUU